CCUACGGGCGGCAGCAGUGGGGAAUAUUGGACAAUGGGCGAAAGCCUGAUCCAGCCAUGCCGCGUGUGUGAAGAAGGCCUUCGGGUUGUAAAGCACUUCCAGUGGGGAAGAAAGCCUUGGGGCUAAUACCCUCGAGGAAGGACAUCACCCACAGAAGAAGCACCGGCUAACUCCGUGCCAGCAGCCGCGGUAAUACGGAGGGUGCGAGCGUUAAUCGGAAUUACUGGGCGUAAAGCGCGCGUAGGCGGUCUGAUAAGCCGGUUGUGAAAGCCCCGGGCUCAACCUGGGAACGGCAUCCGGAACUGUCAGGCUAGAGUGCAGGAGAGGAAGGUAGAAUUCCCGGUGUAGCGGUGAAAUGCGUAGAGAUCGGGAGGAAUACCAGUGGCGAAGGCGGCCUUCUGGACUGACACUGACGCUGAGGUGCGAAAGCGUGGGUAGCAAACAGGAUUAGAACCCUAGUAGUC
RNAcentral lists this ribosomal RNA (464 nucleotides) under Vreelandella stevensii. Its description in RNAcentral is "partial 16S ribosomal RNA". It matches the Rfam family "Bacterial small subunit ribosomal RNA", at positions 338 to 795 of the family's 1533-position model. Lineage: Bacteria; Pseudomonadati; Pseudomonadota; Gammaproteobacteria; Oceanospirillales; Halomonadaceae. The record is from RNAcentral.